CCUACGGGAGGCAGCAGUGAGGAAUAUUGGUCAAUGGCCGGAAGGCUGAACCAGCCAUGCCGCGUGAAGGUCAGUGCCCUAUGGGCGUUAAACUUCUUUUGUGCGGGAGCAAUAAUGGUCACGUGUGGCCAGACGAGAGUACCGUACGAAUAAGCAUCGGCUAACUCCGUGCCAGCAGCCGCGGUAAUACGGGGGAUGCAAGCGUUAUCCGGAUUUAUUGGGUUUAAAGAGUGCGUAGGCUGUGAGGUAAGUCAGCGUUGAAAUGCCCCCGCUCAACGGGGUGAAGUGCCAUUGAUACUGCCUGGCUGGAAUGCGGAUGCGGUGGGAGGAAGGUGUGGUGUAGCGGUGAAAUGCAUAGAUAUCACACAGAACACCGAUUGCGAAGGCAUCUCACGAAUCCGCGAUUGACGCUGAUGCACGAAAGCGUGGGUAUCAAACAGGAUUAGAUACCCUUGUAGUC
Molecule: ribosomal RNA, 460 nt
Filed under: uncultured bacterium
Lineage: Bacteria
Description: partial 16S ribosomal RNA
Rfam family: Bacterial small subunit ribosomal RNA
Source: RNAcentral